UUGAAAUAUCUGUCUGCUUACAGUUCACCGUCCCAAAGUUCUUGCACUGUCUUGUAAAAGCCAUUAGUCUUGUCAACUAAAAAACUGCCCAUUCAUAGCCUCAUCUUCUCACUUUCAGAAAACUUGGCAAACAAAUUUUCAGGAAUAGACCAGUCAAAAACAUCGAAGUUUUGCUCGAUCCUUGCCUCAUUCGUGCUCUUAGGCACUACACUGUGACCCAUUUGAAGUCCCCAACGAAGAGCAACUUGUGCAGGAGUCUUGCCUAAUUUCUCAGCAACUGUAGUGACAAUAGGAUUCUUGAGAAUUGGUGUUCCAGAGGCAC
Molecule: unclassified non-coding RNA, 322 nt
Filed under: Hevea brasiliensis (rubber tree)
Lineage: Eukaryota; Viridiplantae; Streptophyta; Magnoliopsida; Malpighiales; Euphorbiaceae
Source: RNAcentral